GCGUAAGCGCGCGCAGGCGGUUUCUUAAGUCUGAUGUGAAAGCCCACGGCUCAACCGUGGAGGGUCAUUGGAAACUGGGGAACUUGAGUGCAGAAGAGAAAAGCGGAAUUCCACGUGUAGCGGUGAAAUGCGUAGAGAUGUGGAGGAACACCAGUGGCGAAGGCGGCUUUUUGGUCUGUAACUGACGCUGAGGCGCGAAAGCGUGGGGAGCAAACAGGAUUAGAUACCCUGGUAGUCCACGCCGUAAACGAUGAGUGCUAAGUGUUAGAGGGUUUCCGCCCUUUAGUGCUGCAGCUAACGCAUUAAGCACUCCGCCUGGGGAGUACGGUCGCAAGACUGAAACUCAAAGGAAUUGACGGGGGCCCGCACAAGCGGUGGAGCAUGUGGUUUAAUUCAA
This 397-nucleotide ribosomal RNA is filed under the name Priestia megaterium. RNAcentral describes it as "bacterial SSU rRNA". It matches the Rfam family "Bacterial small subunit ribosomal RNA", at positions 558 to 954 of the family's 1533-position model. Lineage: Bacteria; Bacillati; Bacillota; Bacilli; Caryophanales; Bacillaceae. The record is from RNAcentral.